GCAUUGGUGGUUCAGUGGUAGAUUUCUUGCCUCCCACGCGGGAGACCCGGGUCCGAUUCCCGACCAUUGCA
Molecule: non-coding RNA, 71 nt
Organism: Danio rerio (zebrafish)
Lineage: Eukaryota; Metazoa; Chordata; Actinopteri; Cypriniformes; Danionidae
Source: Rfam